GGCAGUGUAGCAUAGUGGUAAGGCACAGGGCUCGUAACUGAGAGGUUGUUGGUUCAAUUCCCCGCUGGGU
Molecule: non-coding RNA, 70 nt
Organism: Megalops atlanticus (tarpon)
Lineage: Eukaryota; Metazoa; Chordata; Actinopteri; Elopiformes; Megalopidae
Source: the annotation of a GenBank genome assembly